Molecule: ribosomal RNA, 84 nt
Filed under: Crataegus brachyacantha
Lineage: Eukaryota; Viridiplantae; Streptophyta; Magnoliopsida; Rosales; Rosaceae
Description: partial 5.8S ribosomal RNA
Rfam family: 5.8S ribosomal RNA
About the family: 5.8S ribosomal RNA (5.8S rRNA) is a component of the large subunit of the eukaryotic ribosome.
Source: RNAcentral
UGCAGAAUCCCGUGAACCAUCGAGUCUUUGAACGCAAGUUGCGCCCGAAGCCACUAGGCCGAGGGCACGCCUGCUUGGGCGUCA